UGGGGAAUAUUGGACAAUGGGCGAAAGCCUGAUCCAGCCAUGCCGCGUGGAGGAUGAAGGUCCUCUGGAUUGUAAACUUCUUUUAUCUGGGAAGAAAUCCAAGAUUUCUAUUUUGGUUGACGGUACCAGAUGAAUAAGCACCGGCUAACUCCGUGCCAGCAGCCGCGGUAAUACGGAGGGUGCAAGCGUUAUCCGGAUUCACUGGGUUUAAAGGGUGCGUAGGUGGGUUGGUAAGUCAGUGGUGAAAUCCCCGAGCUUAACUUGGGAACUGCCAUUGAUACUAUCAAUCUUGAAUACUGUGGAGGUCAGCGGAAUAUGUCAUGUAGCGGUGAAAUGCUUAGAUAUGACAUAGAACACCAAUUGCGAAGGCAGCUGGCUACACAAAUAUUGACACUCAGGCACGAAAGCGUGGGGAUCAAA
Molecule: ribosomal RNA, 420 nt
Filed under: uncultured bacterium
Lineage: Bacteria
Description: bacterial SSU rRNA
Rfam family: Bacterial small subunit ribosomal RNA
Source: RNAcentral